RNAcentral lists this long non-coding RNA (470 nucleotides) under Dermacentor andersoni. RNAcentral's name for it is "uncharacterized LOC126539512". The record is from RNAcentral. Lineage: Eukaryota; Metazoa; Arthropoda; Arachnida; Ixodida; Ixodidae.
UGUGUGUGUUUACGGUUUCAUUUGACACUGUCUCGCUCCCACAACACAGGUCCAAGAAGGCCCAGCCUUUCCACCAGUCGAGCUCAAUCACGCCUCCUUCAAGCAACACAAUAAAGGGUGAUGUCAACAUGUUCGUGGCUUCAGUGUUUCACCAGUCACAUAACUCAUCUAGGCACUGGUCGGGGACCACUUCCCGAGCACCACGAAGCAGCAGUGCCCACUGAGGCCCAGAUCCACGCCGAAGGCUACAGCCGAGGUCCCAUUCCAAUUCACCACGGCCGAGGAGCGUCGGGAAAUCUGUGGACAGCGCUCGGGGAGGAGACAAAAGGCACUCACACGUAGUGACACAAUCUUGAUUUUAAAGAAACAAAUAAAAAUAAAUCACCCACACAAAUUGUACUGGUAUAGAGGGUCCUUCAAUCACUGUGAUUUCAUUUAAAAGUACAAAUAAAGAGAAACACAGAGUGAAA